Non-coding RNA from Vicugna pacos (alpaca), 438 nucleotides. The record is from RefSeq and is a predicted model, not a curated record. NCBI's taxonomy places the organism in Eukaryota, Metazoa, Chordata, Mammalia, Artiodactyla, Camelidae.
UUCUGUAUCCUGAUUAUAAUUACACAACUGUAUGCCUUUGUCAAAACUCCUAAGAAUUGUAUACCAGAAAGAGAAUAAUAUUGCACGUAAAUUUAAAAAGAAUAGCAGCAGAGAUGUUUAAUACUUACAAGGAUCAAACAUAUUAGUAUGACAUAAUUAAACCACUUUUUGAUCAAAACCCCCAAAUCAUACUGCCCCCAUUGUCAUCUCAGGCAUACUUAAUCAACAGCCAUCCUCUCACUACCAUAAACGACACACAUUAAGUUUUCAAUGAUGAAAACUAAUGAGAACUUUUCUACUUCUGCCACAAUAGUGACCAAGACAAAAGGUUUUGGAAUCAGAUAAAACUAGUUAUAUGACUUUGUACAAGAUUCUUAACCUCUAAGAUUUUAAUUUCCUUUAAUGUGAAAUGAACAAAAUAAUACAAUUCUCAUUACC